RNAcentral lists this ribosomal RNA (473 nucleotides) under uncultured bacterium. RNAcentral describes it as "bacterial SSU rRNA". It matches the Rfam family "Bacterial small subunit ribosomal RNA", at positions 355 to 825 of the family's 1533-position model. The record is from RNAcentral.
UGGGGAAUAUUGGACAAUGGGCGCAAGCCUGAUCCAGCAAUGCCGCGUGUGUGAAGAAGGCCUGCGGGUUGUAAAGCACUUUCGGUUGGGAAGAAAAGACCAAAGCUAAUAUCUUUGGGACUUGACAUUACCUUCAUAAGAAGCACCGGCUAACUCCGUGCCAGCAGCCGCGGUAAUACGGAGGGUGCGAGCGUUAAUCGGAAUUACUGGGCGUAAAGCGCGCGUAUGUGGUUUGAUAAGUCGGAUGUGAAAGCCCCGAGCUUAACUUGGGAACGGCAUUCGAUACUGUCUGACUAGAGUAUGGUAGAGGAAAGCGGAAUUCCCGGUGUAGCGGUCGAAAUGCGUAGAUAUCGGGAGGAACAUCAGUGGCGAAGGCGGCUUUCUGGACUAAUACUGACACUGAGGCGCGAAAGCGUGGGGAGCAAACAGGAUUAGAUACCCAAGUAGUCCCUGAGCGGGCUGGCAAGGCGCAU